This 576-nucleotide ribosomal RNA is filed under the name Triticum aestivum (bread wheat). RNAcentral describes it as "partial small subunit ribosomal RNA". The record is from RNAcentral. Lineage: Eukaryota; Viridiplantae; Streptophyta; Magnoliopsida; Poales; Poaceae.
AUGUUUCAAAUUGCUGUUUCAGGAAAUAUGGAUGCAACAAGAACACCAUGUUCUAAUACAUCUACAGAUUUUGAGAAUGUACAAACACCAAGGAAUGAACUUUCACCAGCAACAGUUGCUAGUAGGAUGUCAGAAACAGCGGUUGCAUUCCGUUUGUUUCAGCGAGAAGAUAUCCUUAACUUAAAUGCAAGAGCACUAGAAGCAGAGUUCACGGACUCACCGAUUGAUAAAAUUAAAGUAAGCAACGGUCAAUUGGCAAGUAAUCAUGUGCUUGUCGGUACUACAAUGCUUCAAAAAUCAUCAGCCAUGCUAGCUAUAUUCUCAAAUUGGGUACUACACAGCAAGCAAGACAAAAAUGAAGUGUGCUGGAUAAUAAAUUAUGAACCAAGGUACAUAGAGGUCACAGGGAAUGAAUUGAAGGAUACACUCAUACUAUUCAAACCAUUUAGCUAUGAAGUAUUUGAUUUAUGUAUCAGGAGAUCAGUUCAACUAGAAAUGUUGAUUUAUGGCACAUCAAAGAAGCAAAGGUGUAGGCAUAUAAUGGAGUCCGACUUUGCUGUAAGUUUCCUAAAAUAA